This is a long non-coding RNA of Helianthus annuus (common sunflower), 2198 nucleotides long. RefSeq lists it as uncharacterized. The record is from RefSeq and is a predicted model, not a curated record. The transcript is spliced from 3 exons. Lineage: Eukaryota; Viridiplantae; Streptophyta; Magnoliopsida; Asterales; Asteraceae.
AACCCAUCUACUUCAUACAUGUCUUCACUCUUCACUCUUGAAUACUGGUUGCACAAAGAGAAUCUAGAGUUUAACCAGAGAGGUGAGAGAGAGAGACGGAGUAGCUCUGCUUCUCUCUGAAAAAGCAAUCCCUAAUCCAGAAAUUGCAAUUGAAUCGGAGCUCCGACCCUCCGAUCGAGCGCUGAAAGAAUGGAUGUUUGACUUUGUUUCCGAAGAAACGACGACCACCGCGUAGUACCCGUCGUAACGGCCACCAACAACACUGCCGGUAUCUAGACCGUCACCAGUGGUUCAAUCGGACGCCAGUGUACAUUCUACAACCCUAACUCUAGAACAAAUCUCGCAAAAAAAGAGAAAUCAAGAAGAGGUAUGGGUAUAUAUUUCAAAAGGAAGUUGUUCUCAUGACUGAACUUGAACAAACUUUUCUAGCCCUAAUUUCUUUCUCCAGAGGUACAAUUUUUUUUAAAGUUUAUAUGUUGAAACUUUAGAAUUAGCGUUUGGAUGAUAAUUUGAGUUUCUAUAAGUAACAAGUUUAUGAUUGUUGAAUCUAUAGACUAUAGUUGUUGAUGUGUUUAACAGUUACAAGUUUAUAGUAGUUUUUUUAAGAAAUUGAAAUUGUUGAUAUAUUUUGCCAUAAUCUUCUUUUCAUGACUUAAUUUUCACAUAUAUAAGAUUUAUAUCGAGGAUUCGAGGUAUUUGCUUGGUCGGUGGGUGGGAAACACAUUUUUGCGUGAGACUUGGUUACAUCCGGUUGCUAUGAUUUCUUCAUGAGAGGGAUGUCACCCUGCUCCCAUCACUGGCCCGGUAGGAUGGAUGCAAGUGUAGAUCUAUAUAUUUCAUAUACGGGGUAAAUGGAUCAGAUAGCAUGUAAAAAAGUGUUGGGUUGAUUCCAAAUAUAUUUUAAUUUUACAUUUUAUAUAUAACAAGUUUUAGUGUUUAUACAGUAAAAAAGGACAUUUUUAGCAAGUUCAUUUUAGGCUAAUUUUGUUUGUUUUACGUGUUUGACCAGCUAUGAUAAAACAUAACCCGUACUGACUCAUAACCCGACCCCCUCGAACUUUUCGCUCAAUAGUGUUAUAUAUGUAGUUUUCGUAUAGAAAUUUUUGGGUACAUACGUUUUCGACCCCCCGGUUCUAUAGAUAUUUUUGGGUAUAUACGUUUUCGAUCCCCCCAUCGAAAACUUCAAGCUUCGCCAUUGUACUGACUCAUACUAAUGAAAUAGUUGAAGCAUAAUAUUUCUAUCUCCAUGACAAGCAAAACUAAUGGGAAAGGCAACACUUUGAUAGGAUUUGCUAAGCAAUCCAUGAAGGAAUCUAUUGUAAGCGUGCUACUUGUGUUAGCCCAUAUGUCAUGCAAACUUUUAACUCUAAAUUUGAUACAAAAGUGAGUUUGAUUAAACAAGUUGCAAAAAUUUAGUUGGUUUUAAAAUUUUGAAUAGAAUACGUGUUGUGUUUACUUUCUUUUUGCAGCGAUGAAGGAUGUGCUAGGAAUGGUCUUUCUUAAAAAAGUUAUGGUCCUUAACAAAAAUCAAGGUUAAUGUAGUUAAUUUCCUACCGAUCAUUUUACAAUUUUUCUGGAUUAUUAGGAUGCUAAUGAAAGAGUAUUUCCGUUACAAGGAUGACGAAGAGGUAAACAAUAAUCUGUUCUAUUUUUAUUUUUUUAGAACGGGUUUUUACCACUUUUACUCAUCCUAUCUCUUUAAGUUAAAACAUAAGUAAACGGGACCAAAUCCUCUGAUUUAUUCUUGCGAUUGUUUUUGCAUUCAUUGGCACAGACGAGAUGUCACUGAAGAAGCUGAAGAUAAUGUGUAAAGCCUUACUUCUAAGAUAAUGCUCAUAAAUUCACAUAUAUUACGGCUCUGUGUUGGACGAGGGAGACGAAGCUACUAAAAGGUUCACUUACUUCCUCGGGAAGCCUAGCUGCUUUGUACGCUAUAAUGAAGCUGAAGUGCACAUCAACCGACACCUCACUCUGUUUGUGUGCACGAAGUAUGAUGCAAAGAAAGGUCGCCAAGAAUGAACAACAACCCAUUUGUAAGGUCAAGGCUUACAGAAAGCAGCUCAUCAUUUUUUAACCACAACAACAGCUAGGAGAUGUGAAUGUAUGUUUGUUGCGUGUAAUUAUCAUACAUUUGGUCGAUAAAUAAACAUGUUAGUUAAUAAACCCUGCCGCAUAAAUUGGUAUUCGUUCCGUCUUAA